This 407-nucleotide ribosomal RNA is filed under the name uncultured bacterium. RNAcentral describes it as "bacterial SSU rRNA". It matches the Rfam family "Bacterial small subunit ribosomal RNA", at positions 428 to 827 of the family's 1533-position model. The record is from RNAcentral.
AACUGCUUUUGUACGGAACGAAAGGCUCUGCCCUAAUACGGCGGAGAUAUGACGGUACCGUAAGAAUAAGCACCGGCUAACUACGUGCCAGCAGCCGCGGUAAUACGUAGGGUGCAAGCGUUAAUCGGAAUUACUGGGCGUAAAGCGUGCGCAGGCGGUUAUAUAAGUCAGAUGUGAAAUCCCCGGGCUCAACCUGGGAACUGCAUUUGAGACUGUAUAGCUGGAGUACGGCAGAGGGGGAUGGAAUUCCGCGUGUAGCAGUGAAAUGCGUAGAUAUGCGGAGGAACACCGAUGGCGAAGGCAAUCCCCUGGGCCUGUACUGACGCUCAUGCACGAAAGCGUGGGGAGCAAACAGGAUUAGAUACCCUGGUAGUCCACGCCCUAAACGAUGUCAACUGGUUGUUGGG